RNAcentral lists this ribosomal RNA (422 nucleotides) under uncultured bacterium. RNAcentral describes it as "partial 16S ribosomal RNA". It matches the Rfam family "Bacterial small subunit ribosomal RNA", at positions 360 to 774 of the family's 1533-position model. The record is from RNAcentral.
AAUAUUGGACAAUGGGGGCAACUCUGAUCCAGCCAUGCCGCGUGUGUGAAGAAGGUCCUCGGAUUGUAAAGCACUUUAAGUUGGGAGGAAGGGCUUUAGGUUAAUACCCUGAAGUUUUGACGUUACCAACAAAAUAAGCACCGGCUAACUCUGUGCCACCAGCCGCGGUAAUACAGAGGGUUCAAGCGUUACUCGGAAUUACUGGGCGUAAAGCGAGCGUAGGUGGUUCAGUAAGAUGGGUGUGAAAUCCCCGGGCUUAACCUGGGAACGGCUUUCAUAACUGCUGAGCUAGAGUACGGUAGAGGGUAGUGGAAGUUCCUGUGUAGGGGUGAAAUGCGUAGAUAUAGGGAGGAACACCAGUGGCGAGGGCGACUACCUGGACUGAUACUGACACUGAGGUGCGAAAGCGUGAGGAGCAAACA